Homo sapiens (human) is the source of this 1516-nucleotide long non-coding RNA. Ensembl annotates it as long intergenic non-protein coding RNA 114. The record is from Ensembl. NCBI's taxonomy places the organism in Eukaryota, Metazoa, Chordata, Mammalia, Primates, Hominidae.
GCGACAUGCAAGCGAAUGAUAUGAGAAGUAGCUUGAGGGUGGAUCUUUGUCCAGGGAGGAGAAGGGUUGAGGGGCUCUUGGAACCUAGAUAUUUGCAGUGGAAGCAGCACUGGGCUCCUUGGCAGAUGACUGCUCUUUGUACUCAGGAUAAAACCCACAUUUGCUGCCCAGCAUCUGAGGCCCUGCCUACCUUGGGGAUGUUGUAAUGUUUUUCUUCCCCCUUAGUUCCAGCCACACUAAGGUUUUGAGCCUGAGAUCACCAGGCUCCCUGAGUCCUUGGCCUGUACCCUCACCUGCAAUGUUGGUUUCCUCAACCCCUCAGAUCUCUUACUUAAUGCCCCUUCCCUUUAAGGUGCCCCUUCACUUAAUUUAAGGGCACCUCCCUUCCUGCUAUCUUUUUAUUUGUGUGCUCUCUUGUUUCCUGUUUCCUGAUUGAGAGUCACCUCCUGGAUGGCAGUUCAGCUCUACUGUGUCCCCAUUGGAGACGCAGGCCCCACUGCCAACCACACAAGAAAUAGGCUCUGAAAUAUUUGUUGGAUCCAUGAAUGGUUGAUUGGCUUUCAUUGGGCUGCUGGGAGGAUUAAAUUAUGAAUGUAUAAAGGUGAUUACAUCUCAUUCCUAUAUACCCAUUACAUUGAUGGAUAAGUAUUAGGUUCUCUCUCCUCUUGCCAGGGACUUUAAGAAGCUGCUGAAGAACCCAAGAGGAAGGUGGGAGCUGUUGAUGGUGUGGAAUUAGAGGCCUGAUGGAGUGGAGAGCUUUCCUCCUCAUCACCUGGGUCAGGACCAUGGAGCUCCUUGAGCCUUGAGAUUCCAGGCCCAGGAGCACAUCAUCAUUGUGCUUCUUGGGGCCCAGGCGCAUCUCCUAAGAACUUGUUCUUAGACAUGUUGUGCUCAAACUUGUGGCAUCAUAGCAGUAAUAGUUUACAAUAUACCUACAGUUUCCUGGGCAGAUCAUCGUGUGCAGACCGGCUGCAGAGAGAAGGGAACUGUUUCACUUUCAUCUUCCUGCCGGCCCAGGGCUGCACUCGGUGACUGCUCUUCGUCAAAUUCCUUCUUAAACAGUGGUCAAGUAUUCUUCCGGUGCAGCUGUUAUUUUCGGGUCCUGUAUUCUGCUUUGUGCUGACCCUGUAAUCUCAGCAGUACCCAUUCGCCUAGCAGGGCUUCGGGAUGCUUCCCCGACUCUCCUCGCACCUUCACACCAACGCACUCCGGGAAUGUUUCUGAUGGGUGUCAAGUCCACUCUCUGAUGAACGGACUCGUGCUUUGAGAGCAUCUUCAGGGUCAGUGCAUCCAGUGACCGUUUCAUGACACCGUUUGCCUCGAGCGCCACCGCCUGGCCAAAACUGGAACGACCUGUGCCCGUUGCUGAGGAGGAAAAACACCCGGGAUGGAAUUUCUAGUUUUUGUGCAAUCCUCAUCCUUUUCCAUUUUCUGUAAAGUGACGAUGACAGAUAUUUUCGCUUACUAAUGCAAGUAUUUUUCAUCUGAAUAAAUAUACCAAUUUCUCUGGCAAUAA